Molecule: ribosomal RNA, 500 nt
Filed under: uncultured Acidobacteriota bacterium
Lineage: Bacteria; Pseudomonadati; Acidobacteriota
Description: bacterial SSU rRNA
Rfam family: Bacterial small subunit ribosomal RNA
Source: RNAcentral
AGAGUUUGAUCAUGGCUCAGAAUCAACGCUGGCGGCGUGCCUAACACAUGCAAGUCGAACGUGAAAGCCCCGCAAGGGGUAAGUAGAGUGGCGCACGGAUGAGUAACACGUGGAUAACCUGCCUUUGAGUGAGGAAUAACCUUCCGAAAGGAGGGCUAAUACCGCAUAACACCUUUAGACAAAAGUCAAAGGGUUAAAAGGAGCAAUUCGCUGAAAGAGGGGUCCGCGCCUGAUUAGCUAGUUGGUGAGGUAAUGGCCCACCAAGGCUUCGAUCAGUAGCCGUCCUGAGAGGGAGCACGGCCACACUGGAACUGAGACACGGUCCAGACUCCUACGGGAGGCAGCAGUGGGGAAUUUUUGGCAAUGGGCGAAAGCCUGACCAAGCAACGCCGCGUGGGUGAUGAAGUAUCUUGGUACGUAAAACCCUUUCGGCAGGGACGAACUCAAUGACGGUACCUGCGGAAGAAGCCCCGGCUAACUCCGUGCCAGCAGCCGCGGUA